This 599-nucleotide ribosomal RNA is filed under the name uncultured gamma proteobacterium NAC11-15. RNAcentral describes it as "bacterial SSU rRNA". It matches the Rfam family "Bacterial small subunit ribosomal RNA", at positions 38 to 631 of the family's 1533-position model. The record is from RNAcentral. Lineage: Bacteria; Pseudomonadati; Pseudomonadota; Gammaproteobacteria.
GGCGGUGGCUAACACAUGCAAGUCGUGCGAGAAAGUUCUUCGGAUAUGAGUAGAGCGGCGGACGGGUGAGUAACGCGUAGGAAUCUACCUAGUAGAAGGGGAUAGCCCGAGGAAACUCGGAUUAAUACCGUAUACCUCCUUCGGGAGAAAGAAGGCCUCUCUUUGAAGCUUUCGCUACUAGAUGAGCCUGCGUAAGAUUAGCUUGUUGGUGAGGUAAAGGCUCACCAAGGCUACGAUCUUUAGCGGGUCUGAGAGGACGAUCCGCCACAUUGGGACUGAGACACGGCCCAGACUCCUACGGGAGGCAGCAGUGGGGAAUAUUGGACAAUGGGCGAAAGCCUGAUCCAGCCAUACCGCGUGUGUGAAGAAGGCCCUAGGGUUGUAAAGCACUUUAAGUUGGGAAGAAAAGUUAUUGGUUAAUACCCAAUGACCGUGACAUUACCAUCAAGAAUAAGGACCGGCUAAUUCCGUGCCAGCAGCCGCGGUAAUACGGAAGGUCCAAGCGUUAAUUCGGAAUUACUGGGCCGUAAAAGCGCGCGUAGGUGGUUUAUUAAGUUGGGUGUGAAAUCCCCGGGCUCAACCUGGGAACUGCAUUCAAA